GUGAAUCAUCAAAUUUUUGAACGCAAAUUGCACUCUCCUCGGAGAGGAUGCCUGUUUGAGGGUCAGCCUAUAAAAAAUCUACAUCGUUGCUGUUUCGCGGUGGCGUUCGUCGGAUAUGGGGUCAACUUAAAUCUGUUGUGUUUAAGCGAGUUAAAAUUUUCUUUUUGAUUCCAUGAAGGGGUUUCUAAGAUUUAUUUCUUCACACGUUUAAAGCAUC
RNAcentral lists this unclassified non-coding RNA (217 nucleotides) under Glomeraceae sp. Its description in RNAcentral is "partial contains 5.8S ribosomal RNA and internal transcribed spacer 2". The stretch from base 1 to 65 matches the Rfam family "5.8S ribosomal RNA", at positions 84 to 154 of the family's 154-position model. Lineage: Eukaryota; Fungi; Glomeromycota; Glomeromycetes; Glomerales; Glomeraceae. The record is from RNAcentral.